GCGAUCCUCCUGCCUCAGCCUCCCAAGUAGCUGGGACUCCAGCGUAUACACCAUUCCUACAGAGGACCCUCAUCUAAGGUUUACGUCAGUGUAAACUUCCAGAAUGCCAGAAAAUCCACAGUAAGGAGACUACAAAAACGUAUCCUCAGACUGAGAAUCCGUGGACGCUUGGCUAUUUACCAGGGGAGUUAUGGCUCGGAUGAGGAGCCCAAAGAAAGGGCUUUGCCAAGGGUAGUCACAUCCUCCUCCACUGCAUGGCAGAGCCACGGGAGAAGGAAGCCCACAGAGAGGAAGCAGACCCCGGAGAGAACCAUACAACAUCAUCAGGGCUUUUCAGUGACGUGAGCCAAUAAUCCUCUUUUUGGUGGCCAUUUGGGCUGGUGUCCAUCAUUUGUAACCAAAACAGUCCAGACUAACGGUUUCAUUGCAACAUGAAGGAUUCCUCUUUCCGAGGCAUUGGGGAACUCCUUACCGCUCCUCCCCUGGGCUGACUUUUGUCUCUCAUUGCUGACCUGAGCCUCUUCCUCCCAGCCCUGACCACACCAGGCUCCAGACGGCCCGAGACCCUGCUGCCAGUCCCUGAGGGGGUGGCCCUUACCUGCAUGUUGUUCCAGG
This is a non-coding RNA of Microcebus murinus (gray mouse lemur), 615 nucleotides long. NCBI's taxonomy places the organism in Eukaryota, Metazoa, Chordata, Mammalia, Primates, Cheirogaleidae. The record is from RefSeq and is a predicted model, not a curated record.